RNAcentral lists this transfer RNA (58 nucleotides) under Flabellotrichalus sp. BM0082. Its description in RNAcentral is "partial tRNA-Ser". Lineage: Eukaryota; Metazoa; Arthropoda; Insecta; Coleoptera; Lycidae. The record is from RNAcentral.
AAAGAAAAAUUUAAUAAAAAAAAGCUUCUAACUUUUUAAUAAGCAUUAAUAUGUUUUU